RNAcentral lists this transfer RNA (93 nucleotides) under Felis catus (domestic cat). It matches the Rfam family "tRNA". From Rfam's summary of the family: Transfer RNA (tRNA) molecules are approximately 80 nucleotides in length. The record is from Rfam by way of RNAcentral. RNAcentral also lists the same sequence under 2 other names. Lineage: Eukaryota; Metazoa; Chordata; Mammalia; Carnivora; Felidae.
ACCUGGGUGGCUCAGUGAGUUGAGCAUCUGACUCUUGGUUUCGGCUCAGGUCAUGAUAACACAGCUUUGUGGGUUCGAGCCCCACAUCGGGUU